RNAcentral lists this unclassified non-coding RNA (831 nucleotides) under Hevea brasiliensis (rubber tree). Lineage: Eukaryota; Viridiplantae; Streptophyta; Magnoliopsida; Malpighiales; Euphorbiaceae. The record is from RNAcentral.
CUGAUCAUGUAGUAGAAUGGCUUUUUCCCCACCUCCACCGCUGCAUUUUGUCCCUUGGAAGCAUCAACUGAGGAGCUUUCUGGGGAAGAUGUUGAGGCUUCUUCCCUGUUGAACCCACCAGUGACCUCCAUUUCUUGAGAUGUUUUUUCAUCACCAUCAAUGGUAACCAAUUGGUCUCCACUUUUUUCAGCAUCCUGAAUGCAAUUUAUGGUUCUUUCACUAGUAAUAACAGAGCCAUUCAGACCCUCACAUUCAGAUACACGGCCAUCAUUGUUAGGGGCAAAUUCUCUGGAACCUGUUGGUGUAUUUUCAACUUUUGACCCAGCUUUCACACCAACUGAAUUCUCAACUGAAUCAUGGAUACUGGCCUCUCUAUCUGGAUAGUCGUCCGAAACAGAGUAGCUGCCAACACAUUGAGAAGCCCCCUCUGAAACUUCAGGUUCUUUGUCCAACUCAUUACUUGAGAAAACAGAUGCUUUUUCUCCAGAUUCAAUAGCUGUGGAACCAGUCUCAAUUUCUGGUUCUUCAUCAUUAACCAGGCAACUUGGCUUUGCACAAGUUGCAAGAGGGCUGCUAUCCGGCUCAAUCACUAUUCCUCUGUCACCAAUAGAAUGAGAACCAACACUUUCAAUGCUAUUAACAUCCAUCUUUUCCACCAAAGUCUCUGUUCUCAUAUCAUCAUUAACUUCCGUAUCAUCCACAGCAACAGGACAAUAAUCCACAAUUUUAACAACUGGUUCCCACACUGUUUCACUGGCAGGAGCAAGAGGAAUGCUUUCAUAACUUUCAACUGCCACAUUGUCAUGAACAACAGUUUUGACAACUUCAGAA